This 468-nucleotide ribosomal RNA is filed under the name uncultured bacterium. Its description in RNAcentral is "partial 16S ribosomal RNA". It matches the Rfam family "Bacterial small subunit ribosomal RNA", at positions 28 to 507 of the family's 1533-position model. The record is from RNAcentral.
GACGAACGCUGGCGGCGUGCUUAACACAUGCAAGUCGAACGGAAAGGCCCUGCUUUUGUGGGGUGCUCGAGUGGCGAACGGGUGCGUAACACGUGAGUAACCUGCCCCUGACUUUGGGAUAACUUCAGGAAACUGGGGCUAAUACUGGAUAGGAGCUCCUGCUGCAUGGUGGGGGUUGGAAAGUUUCGGCGGUUGGGGAUGGACUCGCGGCUUAUCAGCUUGUUGGUGGGGUAGUGGCUUACCAAGGCUUUGACGGGUAGCCGGCCUGAGAGGGUGACCGGCCACAUUGGGACUGAGACACGGCCCAGACUCCAACGGGGGGCAGCGGUGGGGAAUAUUGCACAAGGGGCGGAAGCCUGAUGCAGCAACGCCGCGUGCGGGAUGACGGCCUUCGGGUUGAAAACCGCUUUCGCCUGUGACGAAGCGUGAGUGACGGUAAUGGGUAAAGAAGCACCGGCUAACUACGUG